Molecule: ribosomal RNA, 468 nt
Filed under: uncultured bacterium
Lineage: Bacteria
Description: partial 16S ribosomal RNA
Rfam family: Bacterial small subunit ribosomal RNA
Source: RNAcentral
GACGAACGCUGGCGGCGUGCCUAACACAUGCAAGUCGAACGGAAAGGCCCUGCUUUUGUGGGGUGCUCGAGUGGCGAACGGGUGAGUAACACGUGAGUAACCUGCCCUUGACUUUGGGAUAACUUCAGGAAACUGGGGCUAAUACCGGAUAGGAGCUCCUGCUGCAUAGUGGGGGUUGGAAAGUUUCGGCGGUUGGGGAUGGACUCGCGGCUUAUCAGCUUGUUGGUGGGGUAGUGGCUUACCAAGGCUUUGACGGGUAGCCGGCCUGAGAGGGUGACCGGCCACAUUGGGACUGAGAUACGGCCCAGACUCCUACGGGAGGCAGCAGUGGGGAAUAUUGCACAAUGGGCGGAAGCCUGAUGCAGCAACGCCGCGUGCGGGAUGACGGCCUUCGGGUUGUAAACCGCUUUCGCCUGUGACGAAGCGUGAGUGACGGUAAUGGGUAAAGAAGCACCGGCUAACUACGUG